GCCAUUCCCGAGAGCCGCCGCGGAGGGAUACGCGCCACAGCGCCGCGCGCUGAGUGGGGCGCCGCGCGGGCCGGGAGCGGCGGGGCUGAUGGGUACCCCGAGCGGGGGCUCCCGCCGGGAUCCGUCUGCGCCGAGCCCGCGGGAUGGAGGCGCGAAGAGGGGCAGGAGGAAGAAGUCGCGCUGUUGUUCUCCAAGCAAAAGACUAAAUGCACAUGCUGUCUGGCAGUUUUCUAGCCAAAAUAUGACACAAAUUCCCUUGGACAGCUUAGAAUUCCCAUUUUCUUCACAAAACUGCAAAGAUGGGUCAGCAACAACUGCCUGA
This 322-nucleotide long non-coding RNA is filed under the name Phasianus colchicus (ring-necked pheasant). RNAcentral's name for it is "lncRNA (ENSPCLG00000008010.1)". The record is from RNAcentral. Lineage: Eukaryota; Metazoa; Chordata; Aves; Galliformes; Phasianidae.